GGGGGGAGAGUUUGAUCCUGGCUCAGUCGAACGGCAGCGCGAGAGAGCUUAACACAUGCAAGUCGAGCGGGGAGCUUCGGCUCUCAGUGGCGGACGGGUGAGUAUAUACGUGGGCAACCUGCCCCGAGCUCUGGAAUAACCUCGGGAAACCGGGGCUAAUGCCGGAUAUGACAUUGCGGGGGAUCUGGUGGUGUGGAAAGAUUUAUCGGCUCGGGAUGGGCCCGCGGCCUAUCAGCUUGUUGGUGGGGUGAAGGCUCACCAAGGCAACGAUCCGUAGCUGGUUUGAGAGGACGACCAGCCACACUGGGACUGAGACACGGCCCAGACUCCUACGGGAGGCAGCAGUGGGGAAUUUUGGACAAUGGGGGAAACCCUGAUCCAGCGACGCCGCGUGGGGGAUGACGGCCUUCGGGUUGUAAACCUCUUUCAGAAGGGACGAAGCGAGAGUGACGGUAUCUGCAGAAUAAGCACCGGCUAACUACGUGCCACCGGCCGCGCUAAUACUUAAGGUGCAAGCGUUGUCCGGAAUUACUGGGCGUAAAGAGCUCGUAGGCGGCCUGUUGCGUCGGCUGUGAAAACCCGGGGCUCAACUCCGGGCCUGCAGUCGAUACGGGCAGGCUAGAGUCCGGCAGGGGAGACUGGAAUUCCUGGUGUAGCGGUGAAAUGCGCAGAUAUCAGGAGGAACACCGGUGGCGAAGGCGGGUCUCUGGGCCGGAACUGACGCUAAGGAGCGAAAGCGUGGGGAG
Molecule: ribosomal RNA, 746 nt
Filed under: Frankia sp.
Lineage: Bacteria; Bacillati; Actinomycetota; Actinomycetes; Frankiales; Frankiaceae
Description: bacterial SSU rRNA
Rfam family: Bacterial small subunit ribosomal RNA
Source: RNAcentral